GACCAGGUAGGUUGCAUGAUGAGGUGUGUCAAGAACUCGCAGGGCAGAAUUUCACUGAGGAGGCCACGAGCGUCCGCCUGAAAAGCGGAAGGUCGCCGGUUCGAUCCCGGCCCUGGCCACCA
RNAcentral lists this transfer RNA (122 nucleotides) under Natronoglycomyces albus. RNAcentral describes it as "Glycomycetaceae bacterium DSM 106290 tRNA-Phe". The stretch from base 62 to 119 matches the Rfam family "tRNA". Lineage: Bacteria; Bacillati; Actinomycetota; Actinomycetes; Glycomycetales; Glycomycetaceae. The record is from RNAcentral.